This 425-nucleotide ribosomal RNA is filed under the name uncultured bacterium. RNAcentral's name for it is "partial 16S ribosomal RNA". It matches the Rfam family "Bacterial small subunit ribosomal RNA", at positions 354 to 796 of the family's 1533-position model. The record is from RNAcentral.
GUGGGGAAUCUUGCGCAAUGGGCGAAAGCCUGACGCAGCCAUGCCGCGUGAAUGAUGAAGGUCUUAGGAUUGUAAAAUUCUUUCACCGGGGACGAUAAUGACGGUACCCGGAGAAGAAGCUCCGGCUAACUUCGUGCCAGCAGCCGCGGUAAUACGAAGGGGGCUAGCGUUGCUCGGAAUUACUGGGCGUAAAGGGCGCGUAGGCGGACAGCUUAGUCAGAGGUGAAAGCCCAGGGCUCAACCUUGGAAUUGCCUUUGAUACUGGCUGUCUUGAGUACGGGAGAGGUGAGUGGAACUCCGAGUGUAGAGGUGAAAUUCGUAGAUAUUCGGAAGAACACCAGUGGCGAAGGCGACUCACUGGCCCGUUACUGACGCUGAGGCGCGAAAGCGUGGGGAGCAAACAGGAUUAGAUACCCGUUUAGUCC